AGAGAGAGAGAGUGUGUGUAUGUGUGUAACACACUGGACCUUUGCAAAUUGCGAGGUUUGAGUGUUUGAUCAGUGUUCUGAGUUUUUUCAGAUUUUCUGGCGGGUCGUUGACAGUGUUUUGACCUAUGACUCGUAUCUCAAGAAUUGAGGUAUUUAAAGUAGCACUAAGGUCGCCAAAGAGGAGAACUUAGGCUGCUCUCUGGUUGCCUUCUGUGGGAUUGUGU
Molecule: long non-coding RNA, 224 nt
Filed under: Ananas comosus (pineapple)
Lineage: Eukaryota; Viridiplantae; Streptophyta; Magnoliopsida; Poales; Bromeliaceae
Description: long non-coding RNA (ACOM_LNC028274)
Source: RNAcentral